UCCUCUCACGUUGCCUCUGGGAUUGCCUC
Molecule: small RNA, 29 nt
Filed under: Bombyx mori (domestic silkworm)
Lineage: Eukaryota; Metazoa; Arthropoda; Insecta; Lepidoptera; Bombycidae
Description: piRNA piR-bmo-1853085
Source: RNAcentral